Molecule: long non-coding RNA, 1129 nt
Organism: Astatotilapia calliptera (eastern happy)
Lineage: Eukaryota; Metazoa; Chordata; Actinopteri; Cichliformes; Cichlidae
Source: Ensembl
CGAUAAUCAAAACCCACCCCUAAUCAAGAACUUGCAAAGUAAAAACAUGAUCAAUGUAAGGUAGCCCUUUUGUUAUUUACAGUUAACAAGAGGAUUAGUGUUACUGUGCGCUGGCUGAGUCUGUUUCUUUUCUUAGAAAUAGUUUCUCCUGCCCUGGAGAAAAUCCACUUGCAUGUGUAACAAGUGUCACCUGGCAGUUUGUUGCUCUCUGCCAGGUGAUUGGCUGAAGAGCUGUGAAAAGGUAGUGGGUGUGUGGGGUGAAGUCAGCGCUCUUCUGUGGAAAAAACCAGAGGCAAUUAAUUCACUCAGGUGCGAGUGGGUCUACUGUCGUGUGACCACGAAUUUUAAUAGAAGAAUUGAUCAAGCCCUAGAUCGACUGCGCGCAGGGAAACUGAUCAAUAUUCUGUGCUGUCUCUGCUGUCCUUUUUUUGUUCUUUUGAUUGAUUUGUAAUUUUGUUUUGGUUAGUCCGUCCAGCCGUAGAGGCGGUUAUUGAUUGAGAGUAAGUUUUGUAAGGGCGGACUAACCUCUCUUUUGUUUUUUUAUUUUAAUUGUUUGUGCCACUUCCCUUUAUCUCUCAGAUCACAGGCCAUACAUAGCACUGAUGCCCAGCUACGCUGAGACCCGAAUUGUUUGCAGUGUGUGCCACGAUUGCAGUGUCACUAAGCGGGGUGUGACGGGUUGUAGUGUUAUUUCGCACAGUUUGUGUGGUAAGUCUCAUGUGCAGCUGGGAUAUCAGCAGGAUGUGUUGUAAGUCCUGUCUGGAAACGACUGGGAAUUUGUAUGUUUAACUUAUGUAAUAAAUAAAUGAUCAAUUAUUUCUUUGCCCCGUUUACUCAUCCCUUGUCCUCGGUUACACAUGGAACAGAAGAGGCUGUGGAGUGCAGGAACUACACUGCAAGCUGGUAGAUAUGCAGGUAUUCCUGGGUCCUGCAGACUAUCACCUAAAAACAAUAAACAAAAUGAUUUUCUAAACUGUAGCAAUGUAAUGUACGUAUAGUGUCAAAUACAUUGUUGUAGUCUUCAUUAGCUUUCAUUCACAUGGAAGUGUUCCUAAAGUCAUAUGCUGUAAUGAUAUUUCCAUUAUGAAAACAUGAUUUUGGACAUUUCAAGUUUUUCACUUCGGCAGAU